RNAcentral lists this ribosomal RNA (189 nucleotides) under uncultured soil bacterium. Its description in RNAcentral is "partial 16S ribosomal RNA". It matches the Rfam family "Bacterial small subunit ribosomal RNA", at positions 26 to 218 of the family's 1533-position model. The record is from RNAcentral.
AGGACGAACGCUGGCGGCGUGCUUAACACAUGCAAGUCGAGCGGUAAGGCCUUUCGGGGUACACGAGCGGCGAACGGGUGAGUAACACGUGGGUGAUCUGCCCUGCACUCUGGGAUAAGCCUGGGAAACUGGGUCUAAUACCGGAUAUGACCUGCUCUCGCAGUGGGGGUGGGUGGAAAGAUUUAUCGG